This is a long non-coding RNA of Lycium barbarum (goji berry), 3736 nucleotides long. RefSeq lists it as uncharacterized. The transcript has 2 exons. NCBI's taxonomy places the organism in Eukaryota, Viridiplantae, Streptophyta, Magnoliopsida, Solanales, Solanaceae. The record is from RefSeq and is a predicted model, not a curated record.
ACCUCUUCCAUCGCAGCCUGCUCCCACUAUCUCCUCUCUUCGUUUUCCUCUUUCCCCACGCCAAAGGACAACCAUGGCAGAUGAAGCCCACAUCCCUCUCGUCCUUUCCUCACUAUUCACAACGUCACCAUGGUACUCGAAGCCAUGGAAAAGCUUCCACUCCGCCGAAUCCUCAACGAGUAGGGAAUCAAAAUUGAAAUCGAUUCAAACACUCUUGGACCCAUUGCGUUGCUCAAAAUCAGGUAAAAUCGCUUCCCAUUUCUCUUUGUUUUUUUUUUUUUACUGUUUUUAGCUUUAAAAACGUUAUUCAUCGGCGUUCUCAUUUUAUUAUUUUAUACGGUUGAAAUCCCGACUGAAAUGUGUUAUUUUAUACGGUUGAAAUUCCGACUGAAAUAUGUGUUAUUUUAUACGGUUGAAAUCUCGACUGAAAUAUGUAUUAUUUUCUGAUCUUGUCGAGACGGUUGAAAUCCCGAUCGAAAUACUGAUUUGUUACUGUUCUGUGAUGUUUGACUGUUUCGGGGUUUUACCUUACGUAAAAAGGUUUAGUUGUCUAAAUUUGGCCUUAGCUUAGGUUCUGUUUAAUUUUUUUUUCCAUUUUGUUCUGAUUCAGAAAUAUGCAAUUGAAAUGUAUUAUAACCAAGAAUAUUAGAAAAUAUUAACAUUCAAUAUGGUUCGGUUAUGUUUUUCUGAGGUCCUGCCUAAAAAGUGAUUUUCGAUGUAGCCUUGGUUCUAAGUUUGUGAAUUAAGAUUACAUUGUAGUGUUCUUCUCUCUUUUUUUUUUUAACAAUGUUGGAGUUUGUUUGAAGUCCUCAGUUUUUAUCGAGUUCUCUUUCGCCUUAACAUCGGUGGAAAUUUAUUAGCUACUUCUCUUAGUUUGAGAAUUUGUUACUACUUUUCUCCUUAGUUCAUAUGUAUAGCUUAAUUUGUAUUAGUUGGUUAAGAGGAACCAAUUUGGUCGAUUACUGGUCGAAGGUGAAGUUAAUUUCUUCCCUUAUUGGCUAGCUUGAAUUCCUAAAUCCUCCUCUGUUUAGUCUAACUAAUAUUGUCCAGUUUCUUUUUUUUUUUGGUUCACUUAAAUUCCCAUAAAGUUUAGCUCUUUAUUUUCUUUGUUAGAUAAUUAGUUUACUUUACUCUGUUUCCUUUUAAAAUUCAUAUCUUUUUGGUAGAGGAAAACAAUUGGGUUGAAUACUCGGUUAAGGUGAAGUUAAUCUUUUCCCUUUACGACUGAUUUUACUUCCCAAAGCUUGUAUCCUCCAGGACCGGUUCUUCGUUUCUUUUAGCACUUAAGUUAGAUUCUGUACCUUUUUCUCUCUAUGCUAGCAGUUGAUGUGUUGAACGGAACAAGAAAGUUAAGUUUGGUUCGAAUAUGAAUGGUGUUGAGGUCUCACCACAAACUCAUAUCAUGAAGGCUCCCAAAAAUAGAAAUUUCCAUGACUUCCAUUGUUAUCUAGUAACUCCCUUAUUUUCAUCCCAUCUCAAUCCUUAAGCUUGCUUAUUUCCAAUUCUGCGCAGCUUUUAUAUUCAUAAAUCGUCUAAAGUUUAAAAGCUUUAAUGUCUGUCCUUUCUGUCCAGCCCCUCUUUUUCAGUUCUUUUUUUUUUCUUUUUUCACUUUAGUUCUUCUUAUGAUUCCCUUCACUUAGUUUGCUACCUUUUUUUGGCUUACUUACAUACAUUUGUCCGUUAACAAGAGAAAAUAUUUUGGUUGAGUACUAGUGAAGGAGAAGUUGAUCUUUUUCACUUUGUAACUAGUGUUUUUUUUUUACUCCCAAAAUACUUCUCCUCUAUCUUUAAAAACUUUAUUCUAAAAAUCUGUUCAGUUUCUCAGUUUCAGCUUGUUUAAGAUUACCAGAUUUUAUUUUAGUCGCUAUGUCAUCAUUUAUUUGCCUUUUUUUUUUUCUGUCGUAGUUCUUAAGAAAGGAAGAAGCUAAUUUGGUCGAUUACUAGCCAUAGGUGAAGUUAAUAUCUUCCCUUCUUGGCUAGCUUGAACUCCCAAAUUCUUCCUCUCUUUAUCAUCCAAGGGCUGUCCAGGUUUUUUUUUUUUUAGUUUAUUUCCAAUAAGUUUAGAUUCUUGGUUAGUUAGUUAGUUUUACUCUACUUUCCUUAAGAAGUUGUUUAUCUUAUGUUUUGUUGGAGGGACAUGGGAUUAGCUUGGUGCCAACGGCAAUGACUUACGUCAUUUUUUGGUGAUGGCCUAUACUGUAAAUACCCCAUCCACCACCUACAUUAAGUUCUAUGUUUGGUAAGGCAUUGAAAUUUCCUUUUCAGUUGUUCUUUGUUCGAAUCAUUGUCUUAUUUAUGUGAUUAAAGGCUGCUUGGUUAUUAGACUUAGAUUCAGAAGAGUUAAGUACGUUUGACAUUUUAAACCUCUCAUUCCUUACCCUUGGAUCCACAGCCUUAAUCCUCUAUUCUUAAGAUUGAUUAACUUUGGCUCUGUCUCUUUUUUUUUGUGUAACUUGGCUAAGUUUAAAAGUUCUAACUUCUGUUUCUUCCACUUUCUGCCCAGCCUUUGUUUAACUUUAUAUGAUUACUUUAGCUUGUUUUUUUUGUGGUUCUCUGAACAUUAGUUCGCUACUGUUUUAAUCCUUGUUUAUGUGUCGAAUUAUUAGUUUAUAUCUUUUGGUGGAGGGAAAUGAAAUCUCGACCUAAUACUAGAUCGAGAUGAAGUUGAGCUUUCAAAGAAUCUCACCCUCCAUCCCUAAGGCUUAUUAGCCUGAAUUUUUAACCUGGAUUAUUUUUUUUUCUUUCUUUUUCCUUCAAAUUGCGAAUAUCUUUUGUAACUUAAGGGUAUAUGAACGUGAUUAGUCCUUCUUUGGAUUCAUUAUGGAACCAGAGAAUUUAGGCUUGAAUUGUUGCUUUGUCUAGAUAAAAGAGUCAUCAGUUUGUAGCAUGUAUUUGGCAAAUAUGAAUUUGCAGAACCCAAGUUUGGCAAAUUUAGUUACUUCAAGAUGAGUUUCAUUUUCUUUACUGGAAGCAUGCUCUGAAAAAUGGGCAAAAGAAGGUUUUCUUUACCAACAUAUUAUGCGAUUGCCCUGUCUUCCCUAAAAUUCCUGUGUACCUUCCUUCCAAUAUUUUAGGGAAAGCCGGAGUUUUCUUUUAUGAUCUUGAGAGUUGUUUUCAGUUCUAAUAAUCUUUAUCAAGCCUAGCUUUUUCUACACUUUUAAAUACGAUAAUAAUUCUUUUGUUUUCUAUCAGAAAGAUCCAAAAAUAGAUGUAAAAGAUUCUAUUAGUUGUUGUUUGAGGUGUCUGUGAUAUAUGUUUAAUUUUUAGUAGUGACCUGCGCAUCUUUUAUGGAUUAACGAGCUGUUUGAGUCAAAUUCUUUCUUCGUUUGAUCAACAUACAUGCUAUAAUUUUAUCUAGUUAUCAAGUAUGUUACUAAUCCUUUAUCUUAAUUUUUUAUGCAUGAACCCUAUGAUACGAGUUCAAUGGACUCCCCACUUCCUGCAUAUUGCGCGCUGGGCUUUUGGCCCAACAUAACAAAUCUCGAGUCCAAACAGUAGCAACAUAGCAGUGGUGGCGACGGAAAUAUUGCAAAUCUCGGUUGGAAGUCUGAGAGAACCUAGGACAGGCCCUUUUUAGACUCUCUCCGACUAAGCCCGACUAUUAGAAUAAUUUUAUCGGGAUUGAGGCCCAAUUCUUUGCUCUCUCCUUUGGAUUUCUACUUCUGUUUUGCUUACCUUUUUUGUGUAAACAUUUUUUAGACACUAAAUAAAGCCCCAGCAGGCAUUUGUGAAUACA